This 69-nucleotide transfer RNA is filed under the name Vibrio cholerae. Its description in RNAcentral is "tRNA-OTHER". It matches the Rfam family "tRNA". From Rfam's summary of the family: Transfer RNA (tRNA) molecules are approximately 80 nucleotides in length. Their secondary structure includes four short double-helical elements and three loops (D, anti-codon, and T loops). Lineage: Bacteria; Pseudomonadati; Pseudomonadota; Gammaproteobacteria; Vibrionales; Vibrionaceae. The record is from RNAcentral.
GGAGGGGUUCCCGAGUGGCCAAAGGGNNCGGCUCCGCCUUCGAUGGUUCGAAUCCGUCCCCCUCCACCA